GCUUGUUGGUGAGGUAAUGGCUCACCAAGGCGACGACGGGUAGCCGGCCUGAGAGGGUGACCGGCCACACUGGGACUGAGACACGGCCCAGACUCCUACGGGAGGCAGCAGUGGGGAAUAUUGCACAAUGGGCGAAAGCCUGAUGCAGCGACGCCGCGUGAGGGAUGACGGCCUUCGGGUUGUAAACCUCUUUCAGUAGGGAACAAGGCCAGCAUUUUUGUUGGUUGAGGGUACUUGCAGAAGAAGCGCCGGCUAACUACGUGCCAGCAGCCGCGGUAAUACAUAGGGCGCAAGCGUUAUCCGGAAUUAUUGGGCGUAAAGAGCUCGUAGGCGGUUUGUCGCGUCUGCCGUGAAAGUCCGGGGCUCAACCCCGGAUCUGCGGUGGGUACGGGCAGACUAGAGUGAUGUAGGGGAGACUGGAAUUCCUGGUGUAGCGGUGAAAUGCGCAGAUAUCAGGAGGAACACCGAUGGCGAAGGCAGGUCUCUGGGCAUUAACUGACGCUGAGGAGCGAAAGCAUGGGGAGCGAACAGGAUUAGAUACCCUGGUAGUCCAUGCCGUAAACGUUGGGCACUAGGUGUGGGGGACAUUCCACGUUUUCCGCGCCGUAGCUAACGCAUUAAGUGCCCCGCCUGGGGAGUACGGCCGCAAGGCUAAAACUCAAAGGAAUUGACGGGGGCCCGCACAAGCGGCGGAGCAUGCGGAUUAAUUCGAUGCAACGCGAAGAACCUUACCAAGGCUUGACAUGAACCGGAAAGGCCUGGAAACAGGUCCCCCGCUUGCGGUCGGUUUACAGGUGGUGCAUGGUUGUCGUCAGCUCGUGUCGUGAGAUGUUGGGUUAAGUCCCGCAACGAGCGCAACCCUCGUUCUAUGUUGCCAGCACGUGAUGGUGGGGACUCAUAGGAGACUGCCGGGGUCAACUCGGAGGAAGGUGAGGACGACGUCAAAUCAUCAUGCCCCUUAUGUCUUGGGCUUCACGCAUGCUACAAUGGCCGGUACAAUGGGUUGCGAUACUGUGAGGUGGAGCUAAUC
RNAcentral lists this ribosomal RNA (1030 nucleotides) under Arthrobacter sp. RNAcentral's name for it is "bacterial SSU rRNA". It matches the Rfam family "Bacterial small subunit ribosomal RNA", at positions 244 to 1273 of the family's 1533-position model. Lineage: Bacteria; Bacillati; Actinomycetota; Actinomycetes; Micrococcales; Micrococcaceae. The record is from RNAcentral.